This 468-nucleotide ribosomal RNA is filed under the name uncultured bacterium. Its description in RNAcentral is "partial 16S ribosomal RNA". It matches the Rfam family "Bacterial small subunit ribosomal RNA", at positions 28 to 507 of the family's 1533-position model. The record is from RNAcentral.
GACGAACGCUGGCGGCGUGCUUAACACAUGCAAGUCGAACGGAAAGGCCCUGCGUUUGUGGGGUGCUCGAUUGGCGAACGGGGGAGUAACACGUGAGUAACCUGCCCUUGACUUUGGGAUAACUUCAGGAAACUGGGGCUAAUACCGGAUAGGAGCUCCUGCUGCAUGGUGGGGGUUGGAAAGUUUCGGCGGUUGGGGCUGGACUCGCGGCUUAUCAGCUUCUUGGUGGGGUAGUGGCUGACCAAGGCUUUGACGGGUAGCCCGCCUGAGAGGGUUACCGGCGACAUGGGGCCUGAGAGACGGACCAGAAGGCUACGGGAGGCAGCAGUGGAGAAUAUUGCACAACGGGCGGGAGCCUGUGGCAGCAAUGCCGCGUGCGGAAUGACGGCCUUCGGGUUGUAAACCGCUUUCGCCUGUGACGAAGAGUGCGUGACGGUAAUGGGUCAAGAAGCACCGGCUAACUACGUG